This 378-nucleotide ribosomal RNA is filed under the name uncultured bacterium. Its description in RNAcentral is "bacterial SSU rRNA". It matches the Rfam family "Bacterial small subunit ribosomal RNA", at positions 521 to 896 of the family's 1533-position model. The record is from RNAcentral.
UAAUACGUAGGAUGCAAGCGUUGUCCGGAUUUACUGGGCGUAAAGCGCGCGCAGGCGGCAGGUUAAGUAAGGUGUGAAAUCUCCCUGCUCAACGGGGAGGGUGCACUUUAGACUGACCAGCUAGAGGGCGGUAGAGGGUGGUGGAAUUGCUGGUGUAGCGGUGAAAUGCGUAGAGAUCAGCAGGAACACCCGUGGCGAAGGCGGCCACCUGGGCCGUACCUGACGCUGAGGCGCGAAGGCUAGGGGAGCGAACGGGAUUAGAUACCCCGGUAGUCCUAGCAGUAAACGAUGUCCACUAGGUGUGGGGGGUAGUUGACCCCUUCCGUGCCGAAGCCAACGCAUUAAGUGGACCGCCUGGGGAGUACGGUCGCAAGACUA